Molecule: non-coding RNA, 71 nt
Organism: Penaeus vannamei (Pacific white shrimp)
Lineage: Eukaryota; Metazoa; Arthropoda; Malacostraca; Decapoda; Penaeidae
Source: the annotation of a RefSeq genome assembly
UCUUCUGUGGUGCAACGGUUAGCACAACGGUCCCCGAAUCCGUAGACCCGGGUUCGAUUCCCGGCGAAGAA